This 253-nucleotide ribosomal RNA is filed under the name uncultured bacterium. RNAcentral describes it as "partial 16S ribosomal RNA". It matches the Rfam family "Bacterial small subunit ribosomal RNA", at positions 524 to 776 of the family's 1533-position model. The record is from RNAcentral.
UACGGGGGGGGCAAGCGUUGUUCGGAAUUACUGGGCGUAAAGGGCUCGUAGGUGGCCAACUAAGUCAGACGUGAAAUCCCUCGGCUUAACCGGGGAACGGCAUCUGAUACUGGAUGGCUUGAGAUUGGGAGAGGGAUGCGGAAUUCCAGGUGUAGCGGUGAAAUGCGUAGAUAUCUGGAGGAACACCGGUGGCGAAGGCGGCAUCCUGGACCAACACUGACGCUGAGGAGCGAAAGCCAGGGGAGCAAACGGG